AUGCACGAGCUUGAUCCUCGCUCGCUUGCGCCUUCAUCUUCGACCUUGCGCCCCUGCCGAAGCCCACGCCAAGUCCCUCGCAGAGCCGCCACCCGGAUCAGGCGUCCACGUCGUUCCUGUCGCCAAGUUCAUCGCUCGCAACAGCGCAGCCGCCCCGUUCCCUUUCUUCACAGGAGUUCUUCGCCGCAAGACCUUCCUCGAGGAGCGCCGCCGCCAUGCUGCCCAGUUCCUCUGGCGUCAAGCCCGCUGCCAGUUUUCACUGCCGCCGUCGCUUCCUGUCGAGCAGAGGGCGCGCCUCCUCGGCAUCGAGCCCCGCCGCUCCAACGCCCACUACGACGACUGGAUCGCUACCGCCCCAGGCUGCCGUACUUGUAG
RNAcentral lists this ribosomal RNA (375 nucleotides) under Triticum aestivum (bread wheat). Its description in RNAcentral is "partial small subunit ribosomal RNA". Lineage: Eukaryota; Viridiplantae; Streptophyta; Magnoliopsida; Poales; Poaceae. The record is from RNAcentral.